GAGAACCCUGUGGGUGAGGUUAUCAUUACAUUACAUUACAUUAUUGGCAUUUGGCAGACGCUCUUAUCCAGAGCGACGUACAACAAAGUGCAUACCCAUAACCAGGGAUAAGUUCGCUGAAAGACCCUAGAGUCACACGCAGCAGAACAUAAUGCAAGCUUUCCCUGACAAUUCUGAAGUAAGUCUUGCCAAGGGGCAGGAUAAACCUGGGCUUGUGUGGAUAAAGAAUUCAGAAGAAAGCCACCCAGAAAACAGCAAAUCCUCAGAGACCCCAGUCCCAAAUGGCAGCUGCAAAGCCAAGG
This is a long non-coding RNA of Conger conger (European conger), 302 nucleotides long. RefSeq lists it as uncharacterized. The transcript is spliced from 3 exons. NCBI's taxonomy places the organism in Eukaryota, Metazoa, Chordata, Actinopteri, Anguilliformes, Congridae. The record is from RefSeq and is a predicted model, not a curated record.